Leopardus geoffroyi (Geoffroy's cat) is the source of this 273-nucleotide long non-coding RNA. RefSeq lists it as uncharacterized. Lineage: Eukaryota; Metazoa; Chordata; Mammalia; Carnivora; Felidae. The transcript has 3 exons. The record is from RefSeq and is a predicted model, not a curated record.
CAGAGGAGCUGAGGGAGAGAGAGAAUCCCAACCAGCUUCCAUGCUCAGCGUGAAGCCCGACCCAGGGGCUUGAUCCCACGACCCUGGGAUCAUGACCUGAGCCGAAAUCAAGAGUCAGAUGCCCAACAAGGUAUCCCUACACCUGACUCCCCUUCUAAGAUAACCCUAUGCUAUCAAGAAUAACAUGGGGGCGCCUGGGUGGCUCAGUCAGGGGUUCGUCUCUGGGGUCGUGGGUUCGAGCCCCACGUUGGGUGAAGAGAUUACUAAAAAUAA